AGACGGAGGGUGCAAACGUUGUUCGGAAUUACUGGGCAUAAAGCGCACGUAGGCGGCUCAGCCAGUCCGGUGUGAAAGCCCCCGGCUCAACCGGGGAACUGCAUCGGAUACUGCUGAGCUAGAGGAUGGUUGGGGUGAGUGGAACUCCUGGUGGAGCGGUGAAAUGCGUAGAUAUCAGGAGGAACACCAGUGGCGAAAGCGGCUCACUGGACCAUUUCUGACGCUGAGGUGCGAAAGCGUGGGUAGCGAACAGGAUUAGAAACCCCGGUAGUCC
RNAcentral lists this ribosomal RNA (274 nucleotides) under uncultured bacterium. Its description in RNAcentral is "partial 16S ribosomal RNA". It matches the Rfam family "Bacterial small subunit ribosomal RNA", at positions 523 to 796 of the family's 1533-position model. The record is from RNAcentral.